This is a long non-coding RNA of Eurytemora carolleeae, 313 nucleotides long. RefSeq lists it as uncharacterized. The record is from RefSeq and is a predicted model, not a curated record. The transcript has 2 exons. NCBI's taxonomy places the organism in Eukaryota, Metazoa, Arthropoda, Copepoda, Calanoida, Temoridae.
AAAUAUUAAAGCAAAGGUCGUCCUACUCCAAUCUUAACUACCUGGACCUUCCGGUGUAUAGUUUAUACUCAACAUCCACUGUAUGGGCAUUUCAAACAUGUGGGAAUUAUACACAUGUGAACAUUCAUUCACUCAUUAUCAAACAGAGCAGUGAACUGCAUAGUUAGUUAAAUAUGUUUAAGAAUUAUUUAAUUGUGAACAUAACAUUUAAUAUUUCAGAAGUAUGUAACUAUUCAUUCAAAUGUUCCUCUACUUUUGUGGGUCCCUUUUUCGGCUAAUGUUUUAACAUCGGAGAAUAAAUGUUUAAAACUUA